Molecule: ribosomal RNA, 497 nt
Filed under: uncultured bacterium
Lineage: Bacteria
Description: partial 16S ribosomal RNA
Rfam family: Bacterial small subunit ribosomal RNA
Source: RNAcentral
GAUGAACGCUGGCGGCGUGCCUAAUACAUGCAAGUCGAGCGAACAGACGAGGAGCUUGCUCCUCUGACGUUAGCGGCGGACGGGUGAGUAACACGUGGAUAACCUACCUAUAAGACUGGGAUAACUUCGGGAAACCGGAGCUAAUACCGGAUAAUAUAUUGAACCGCAUGGUUCAAUAGUGAAAGACGGUUUUGCUGUCACUUAUAGAUUGAUCCGCGCCGCAUUAGCUAGUUGGUAAGGUAACGGCUUACCAAGGCAACGAUGCGUAGCCGACCUGAGAGGGUGAUCGGCCACCCUGGAAGUGAGACACGGUCCAGACUCCUACGGGAGGAAGCAGUAGGGAAUCUUCCGCAAAGGGCGAAAGCCUGACGGAGCAACGCCGCGUGAGUGAUGAAGGUCUUCGGAUCGUAAAACUCUGUUAUUAGGGAAGAACAAAUGUGUAAGUAACUAUGAACGUCUUGACGGUACCUAAUCAGAAAGCCACGGCUAACUACGUG